GAGUCUAUGCGUGUCAGAUCAUGCCAUUCUGUCGCCUUUCACAGCGAUAACACGGGUUCGAAUCCCGUUAGCCCUACCA
Molecule: transfer RNA, 79 nt
Filed under: Geothrix rubra
Lineage: Bacteria; Pseudomonadati; Acidobacteriota; Holophagae; Holophagales; Holophagaceae
Description: tRNA-Ser
Source: RNAcentral